UCAGAAAUAGUUUUAAAUAUAGAAUAAUGGUUUUGGAUACUAUUGGUGCAAUUUUUGCUUUCUGA
RNAcentral lists this transfer RNA (65 nucleotides) under Limnoperna fortunei. Its description in RNAcentral is "tRNA-Pro". The record is from RNAcentral. Lineage: Eukaryota; Metazoa; Mollusca; Bivalvia; Mytilida; Modiolidae.